RNAcentral lists this ribosomal RNA (492 nucleotides) under uncultured bacterium. RNAcentral describes it as "partial 16S ribosomal RNA". It matches the Rfam family "Bacterial small subunit ribosomal RNA", at positions 29 to 507 of the family's 1533-position model. The record is from RNAcentral.
AGUGAACGCUGGCGGUAGGCCUAACACGUGCAAGUCGAACGGCAGCACAGUAAGAGCUUGCUCUUACGGGUGGCGAGUGGCGGACGGGUGAGGAAUACAUCGGAAUCUACUUUUUCGUGGGGGAUAACGUAGGGAAACUUACGCUAAUACCGCAUACGACCUACGGGUGAAAGCAGGGGAUCUUCGGACCUUGCGCGAUUGAAUGAGCCGAUGCCGGAUUAGCUAGUUGGCGGGGUAAAGGCCCACCAAGGCGACGAUCCGUAGCUGGUCUGAGAGGAUGAUCAGCCACACUGGAACUGAGACACGGUCCAGACUCCUACGGGAGGCAGCAGUGGGGAAUAUUGGACAAUGGGCGCAAGCCUGAUCCAGCCAUACCGCGUGGGUGAAGAAGGCCUUCGGGUUGUAAAGCCCUUUUGUUGGGAAAGAAAAGCAGCAGGUUAAUACCCCGCUGUUCUGACGGUACCCAAAGAAUAAGCACCGGCUAACUUCGUG